RNAcentral lists this ribosomal RNA (215 nucleotides) under uncultured fungus. Its description in RNAcentral is "partial small subunit ribosomal RNA". The stretch from base 38 to 215 matches the Rfam family "Eukaryotic small subunit ribosomal RNA", at positions 684 to 864 of the family's 1831-position model. Lineage: Eukaryota; Fungi. The record is from RNAcentral.
GGAUCAUCAUGUCGGUCGUGCCUCCGGUACGUACUGGCAUCGUUGAUUUCUACCUUCUGACGAACUAUGAUGUCAUUAAUUUGGUGUCAUGGGGAAUCAGGACUGUUACUUUGAAAAAAUUAGAGUGUUUAAAGCAGGCACACGCUUGAAUACAUUAGCAUGGAAUAAUGAAAUAAGAUCUCGAUUUUAUUUCGUUGGUUUUAGAAAUUGAGAUA